UGCUGGUCAGAGGUGUCCACUACCCUGCUGUGGUGUUUAUAACUAAUUGAUCACAACCAGUUACAGAUUCCUUUGUUCCUUCUUUGCUCCCACUGCUUUACUUGACUAGCCUUUA
RNAcentral lists this Y RNA (115 nucleotides) under Otolemur garnettii (small-eared galago). RNAcentral's name for it is "Y RNA (ENSOGAG00000019016.1)". It matches the Rfam family "Y RNA". Rfam says of the family: Y RNAs are components of the Ro ribonucleoprotein particle (Ro RNP), in association with Ro60 and La proteins. The Y RNAs and Ro60 and La proteins are well conserved, but the function of the Ro RNP is not known. The record is from Rfam by way of RNAcentral. Lineage: Eukaryota; Metazoa; Chordata; Mammalia; Primates; Galagidae.